AGCGAACGCUGGCGGCAGGCUUAACACAUGCAAGUCGAACGGGCGUAGCAAUACGUCAGUGGCAGACGGGUGAGUAACGCGUGGGAACGUACCUUUUGGUCGGAACAACCCAGGGAAACUUGGGCUAAUACCGGAUAAGCCCUUACGGGGAAAGAUUUAUCGCCGAAAGAUCGGCCCGCGUCUGAUUAGCUAGUUGGUGAGGUAACGGCUCACCAAGGCGACGAUCAGUAGCUGGUCUGAGAGGAUGAUCAGCCACAUUGGGACUGAGACACGGCCCAAACUCCUACGGGAGGCAGCAGUGGGGAAUAUUGGACAAUGGGCGAAAGCCUGAUCCAGCAAUGCCGCGUGAGUGAUGAAGGCCUUAGGGUUGUAAAGCUCUUUUACCCGGGAUGAUAAUGACAGUACCGGGAGAAUAAG
Molecule: ribosomal RNA, 417 nt
Filed under: uncultured bacterium
Lineage: Bacteria
Description: bacterial SSU rRNA
Rfam family: Bacterial small subunit ribosomal RNA
Source: RNAcentral